AGGUGGACAUUGCCUCCAUGUUUCAGCAGCAGAGCUACGAUAUCUUUUCGGCCUUGCUUGGCUGCUUCAUGCAUUGCUGACCAUCGCUUGACACAGGGCUGGUCUAGGCUAGUGUUAUGUUUGAUCAGAGUCGACACCAUGUCAUAGGAGCCCUUUUUCACAGCUUGAAAAUGAUUGUUAAAAACAACAACUGAAAAUCAAACAACUGAAAACAUGAGCCAAAUCUAUUAGCACUGAACUCCUCCAACAGCACUGAUGUCACAGGCCCCUGGAAGAAUCCACGUUGUUGACAUUACUCUGGUCAUUUAGUUGCCAUGUAGCCAAGCAAAGAGAUGGGGUUUGACCUUGUUGUCCAGGCUGGUUUCAAACUCCUGAGUUCGAGCAAUCUACCCACCCUUCAAAGUGUUGGGAUCACAGGUGACUCUUAGAAUCAUCUAGUCAAAAUGGAAUUGUGACUGUAAGUGCACUAAGAAAAGAUCCCUUUGGGAAGAAUGAACUUAUUUUGACAAAUAUGUUCAAUAUUUUUACAUAUUUAAAAUAUUGACUCUCACCCAGGAAA
RNAcentral lists this long non-coding RNA (559 nucleotides) under Homo sapiens (human). RNAcentral describes it as "HSALNT0343085". The record is from RNAcentral. Lineage: Eukaryota; Metazoa; Chordata; Mammalia; Primates; Hominidae.